RNAcentral lists this ribosomal RNA (675 nucleotides) under uncultured Acidithiobacillus sp. RNAcentral's name for it is "bacterial SSU rRNA". It matches the Rfam family "Bacterial small subunit ribosomal RNA", at positions 60 to 732 of the family's 1533-position model. Lineage: Bacteria; Pseudomonadati; Pseudomonadota; Acidithiobacillia; Acidithiobacillales; Acidithiobacillaceae. The record is from RNAcentral.
AGUCGAACGGUAACAGGUCUUCGGAUGCUGACGAGUGGCGGACGGGUGAGUAAUGCGUAGGAAUCUGUCUUUUAGUGGGGGACAACCCAGGGAAACUUGGGCUAAUACCGCAUGAGCCCUGAGGGGGAAAGCGGGGGAUCUUCGGACCUCGCGCUAAGGGAAGAGCCUACGUCUGAUUAGCUAGUUGGUAGGGUAAAGGCCUACCAAGGCGACGAUCAGUAGCUGGUCUGAGAGGACGACCAGCCACACUGGGACUGAGACACGGCCCAGACUCCUACGGGAGGCAGCAGUGGGGAAUUUUUCGCAAUGGGGGCAACCCUGACGAAGCAAUGCCGCGUGGAUGAAGAAGGCCUUCGGGUUGUAAAGUCCUUUCGUGGGGGACGAAAAGGCGGGUCCUAAUACGAUCUGCUGUUGACGUGAACCCAAGAAGAAGCACCGGCUAACUCCGUGCCAGCAGCCGCGGUAAUACGGGGGGUGCAAGCGUUAAUCGGAAUCACUGGGCGUAAAGGGCGCGUAGGCGGUACGUUAGGUCUGUCGUGAAAUCCCCGGGCUCAACCUGGGAAUGGCGGUAGAAACCGGCGCACUAGAGUAUGGGAGAGGGUGGUGGAAUUCCAGGUGUAGCGGUGAAAUGCGUAGAGAUCUGGAGGAACAUCAGUGGCGAAGGCGGCCACCUGG